This 396-nucleotide ribosomal RNA is filed under the name uncultured bacterium. Its description in RNAcentral is "partial 16S ribosomal RNA". It matches the Rfam family "Bacterial small subunit ribosomal RNA", at positions 523 to 918 of the family's 1533-position model. The record is from RNAcentral.
AUACGAAGGGUGCAAGCGUUAAUCGGAAUUACUGGGCGUAAAGCGCGCGUAGGUGGUUUUGUAAGUUGGAGGUGAAAGCCCCGGGCUCAACCUGGGAAUUGCCUCCAAAACUGCGUGACUAGAGUACGGUAGAGGGUAGUAGAAUUUCCUGUGUAGCGGUGAAAUGCGUAGAUAUAGGAAGGAACACCAGUGGCGAAGGCGACUACCGGGACUGAUACUGACACUGAGGUGCGAAAGCGUGGGGAGAAAACAGGAUUAGAUACCCUGGUAGUCCACGCCGUAAACGAUGUCAACUAGCCGUUGGGAUCCUUGAGAUCUUAGUGGCGCAGCUAACGCAUUAAGUUGACCGCCUGGGGAGUACGGCCGCAAGGUUAAAACUCAAAUGAAUUGACGGGG